CUUUGUAUACUAUUUGUUUUCUUUUUUAUAUUUGAUUGUUAAAUGAUAAUUAUUUGAAUGACAGUAUUGGAGUUGUAAUUUAAGAAAUUUAUGUGCACAUUGUUUAACAUUGCUUGAAUGCAAAAAGGGGAGGUACAUUUUGGGGCUCAUUUGGCUAUGUAAAUUGGCAGAGAAUGAAAUAUACAUACUACAAUUAUCAUUGUUCCCCGCGUAACGUGUUGGGACUUGGAAAUACUGGGCGUCCGUCCAUCUUUCCUGUCCGUCUUUGUGUCUAUAAAUACUAAUUUUGAAAUUACAAAAUUACAACAUCCAACCCAUAAACAUUUACUAAGAUCAUACUUUCAGGUGUCUUUAGUUUUAUGUACAUACUUUUAUUGCCGUCCUUUUAUUUGAAAUUGUGUUCAUUAUUUUAGAUAUUUACUGUUUUUUAUUUUAAAUACUAUAUUAUUGUCAUUCCAUCAUUCUCAGAUGAAUAUGACCUAACAUGCCUAAGGGGCAACAUUUGUAUGACAAUUAGCAAGCAGAUUAAUCCUGGUAAACUACAUACAUCUUAGAUGGUAAAAAUGUCUUCAUGAUUUAUAUUUACUCAAAUGUAUUUUGUACUUUUUGUAAAUUGUUAUUUGGAUGGAGCGUUGUCUCAUUGGCACUCACACC
This 654-nucleotide long non-coding RNA is filed under the name Mytilus galloprovincialis (Mediterranean mussel). The record is from RNAcentral. Lineage: Eukaryota; Metazoa; Mollusca; Bivalvia; Mytilida; Mytilidae.